CGGAAUCAGCGCCGCUGUCACCAAUUACGUCGUCAUUUUCAUUGGAUUUUUCCUGUUCAAGUGAUGAAAAUAAUGAAGCGAAGAGUUUAACGGAUAAAUGGAGUUUUUCCGCUGUUACUGUUAGUGAUAUUAGUGAUGACGCGAUCGACGAACCGAGUUAUAUGGGUGGCCUGUAUGAAAACCUAAACUGUCAAUGUUCCUCGCCCUGUGCUUUGCAAAUUUCGCCAGUCCACAUUAAAGAAAUUCAGAAUGACAUCGCAGCCAAGGGACGUGAAAGUAGAAGACAAUAUUUUUUAUACUUAGUAAGGCAGCAGCUUGGUAGAAUUGGUUCAGUGUUUGUUAUGAAAGGGUGUCAGUUGUGCCUAAAGGCAUGCAGUAGUGUGCAUGGUAUUUCUGAGAAGUAUCUUGAGGAUGUGGUUAAGGAUGUGCGAUCAGGACAUAGAAAUGCACAUGAUUUUAGAAAAAUGGUCUAAACGACUAUCAUAUAAAACAGGCCUGUGCAUGGCCUGGGUUAGGGACUUCUUUCUUGUAAUGGGAGAACACAUGCCAAAUAAGAAGGUUACCUACCUUCCGGGCUACACAAAACGCUCGGUUUUCCGACGGCUUGAAAGGUCAUUUCGAAAGCGGUAUGGUGACAUAGCAGAUGAGCAUGUCAUCACAUAUCAGCAUCUAUGCAGUGUCUGGAAGAGGGGGGAUGGCCCUGGAAGUGUGCGCCUCAUUUGUGGAAAACCCGAUGGGUUCACAAAAUGCACUACAUGCACUCGACUGCAUGAUGCUGCCAAAGCGGCAACAACACAAUCUGUUGUUAUCCAUAUUGAGAAAUCUCUUGAGCUACAUUAUAAGACUGUGGGUGAUUUGCGCCUUGUUUAUCACAAGACUCGAGAACAGUCGCAGUCCCCAAUCUCCCGAACCACAACAGUUAUCAUCGAUGGGAUGGAUCAAAAUAAAACCAAUCUACCGCAUCUGACCACAGAAGAUAAAACAAGCAAGGGUCAGAUAAGACUGAAAACGCAUAUCACAGGAAUAAAAAUUCACUGUUCGCCUACCGAGGACACAGAUUCCGUCAUCGCAAUAGUUUACGUUGAUGUCAAUGAGUAUCCUCACGACUCCAAUUUGACCAUUUCCAUCCUGCUUGAUGUGCUGCUAAUGCACCACCGCAUCUUUAAACCCAAACCCCAUCUACAAAUGGACAAUUGUUGGAGGGAGAACAAGAAUCGCUACAUUCUUUCAUUCUUGUUCUUCCUUGUGCAUAUAGAUGUUUUUGAAGAUGUAUCUCUGAACUUCUUACCAGUUGGUCAUACGCAUGAGGAUGUUGAUCAGAUGUUCAGAUGUAUCAAUACAGCCAUUUCUUCCUGCGGCAAUAUCAAUACUCUGGAUGAAUUCAUGGAUAGACUAACGGACAAAGACACAUUCUCGCCUAAGAUUGAAGUACAUAAUGUACAAAGUGUGUUCAACUGGCGUGACCACAUAAUUCCAUUCUUGCCUGACAACUUCAGUGGCCAAUCCAAGCCACACCAGUUCCAAUUCAGGAAAGUAGAUGGGCAGGCAAGGAUGCGCUAUCGCCUGUGGGCUGAUGACCCGUGGAGCCCUGAGGGACCAGGCAUGACAUGCCUUGAGGCUUUCCCAGAUUUAGCCGACGAACCAGCAGUGGUUGAACCCAGCUCCGAGCGGAUGGAGCUGGACGAGGUCCGCAAAGGCGUCAAGGCUCUCGGGCCAAGACUGGUGUCCCGAGAUCACCAGUGGUGGGACCGCUACUUCCUAGCACUGGAAAAUCCUAACGUCAAUGACAAGGAAUGGCCGCUGCCCAAAAUCAGCCAAACGAUCGGCUUUUGGGAAAUUGAUGAAGAUAUGACAGACGUUCCGCAGCAUCUGUUGGAGAUCAGAUCCGGCCUCACACAACAAUGCCCAGCGGUGAUCAUUGGUAAUCAAGGACAAAUGCCGGCAAUUCAAGAGGUAGAUCGAACAAAAAUUGAGAUUGGUGAUCUGGCGGCAAUAUACACCGUGGAAAAGGAGGGUAGACCAUGGAUCGCCAAGGUGAUUGAUAUCAAUGAGGACACGAUCAAGAUUCAUUGGUUCCAUGGGUCUUGGAAUGGAGUUUGCCGGCCAUGGUACAACAACAUCAGCAAAAAGCAAGUACCAUGGCUGGAUGAAGUUCAUGUGACGAGUGUUGUUCUGUGGGGGUUUAGAUUGACAGAGAAGGGUGCUUGUUUGACUAGGACUGUGGCCAGAGAGUUGAAAGACAGAAGUAACAUUUGAAGAUGAGGUAGAGGAUGAUGUCGAUAAUCAGACUGAUGAGGACGAUAAUGAUGAAGGUGAAGAUGAAGGUGGUCAUGAUUAUGAUCAGGAUGAGUCUGAUGUUGGUGUUGCCGAGGCGGAUGCAGUUCCAAGUUCUAGUUCCAAGACUUUGAAGACAAAGAAAACAAAGAAGAAAAAGGAAGCGCCCCACACAUCAAAGAAAGCUCCAUGGACUGAUGAGCAAAGGGAAGCAGUCCUAAGGCACUUCCAGCGUCACAUAGCUCUUAAAAAGUGCCCAGGAAAGAAAGAUGUAGACGAUUGUAAAAAAGAGGAGCCAUGUGUUAAAGAUAGGGAUUGGAGGAACAUCAAAGAUUUUGUGAGACAUCAAAUUGUGAAAGCCAAAAAAAGGCAGGCUGAUCAGUAUAAAAAGUUCAAGUAAAAUUUAUUGUAAGAAGAUGUUUUGAGAAUACCGUUACCGUCACAUGGGAUGACUUUGAACAGCGGGGCGACUUUGAAACCCCCCAGAAAUGAUUCUUGUGACGAGAAACAUCUACAGCUGGGUGUUCAAAGUUACCCCACUGUUCAAAGUCACCCCGUGUGACGGUACUUGGGUUCUGUAUGUCAUGUGCAUGUAUGUCGACUAAAGUUUGUGCAGCCAAACUGCCAAUAGGCAAAAACAUUGAGUCGGUGGCUGAUGUGAUUAUUUUCUCGAGCUAAACUUUCUCCAUAAAUAUGAUAAAUAGAUAUCCUGAACAUCAGGGGUUUUGUAUUGCACUCAUACCUCCCUUAGCUCUAUCCCUGAGUUUGAAGGGGGUCACCUAUUUGUCACAAUUUUUCACCGUCGGGUUUACGGCAGCCAAUCAGGCUUCAUGUGUAAUAUGGUACCCCUGAUGUCCAGGGUGUAAAUAGAGGGCCUGUGACUGAAGGCUAGCAAAGAACAGCAAAAAUCUGUGGAACGAUGCAUUGGUCAUUAUCAUCGUCUCUAUAACCAAUAUAUUCAGUUAAUCGCAUUGAUGAGACUUUUUUGCCAUUUUCAGAGUGGACAAUUUUUGCAAAAAUGUCAUGUCAUCAAUCAUUGUUUAAGUCAAAUGGUUGGCGCAGUGUGCAUUUGCACCAAUUUACAUGUACUUAGUAUAUCGGUGCAAAAUGUACACAUAACUGUAUCAUCUCCUUUUGCAAUGUAUCAUGUGUGUAUGCUUGCAAUUGAAUUCAAGUUGGGACCACCUUGCUCAUUGGGAGGUGCCCGUUUGAAACCUGGAAGGAAUGUCUGGACAUUGCAUGUCCCUAUUAUCAAUAGUGUAGAUGAAGAGUCCCUGUUUGGUCAGUAAAAGACAAAUCUCCCAAUAUUUUGGUGUUUUGUGAUAUCCUCUUCCUAAAUCAUCUUUUGACUAGGACUUAAUAGCCUGACUUUCUUACUUUGGAAACUUAAUGAUAACUUUAGGUGUUUAGGCACGUGACCAAUACUAUUUUGGGCACCAUAUUAGAAAUCAUGUAAAAUCAGGUGCCUGACAUACAAGGUUUGAGCCCAAGUUUAAGUCAUGAACUUGAGUGAGUUAAUAAUUCCACAGUCCAAAUAACUAAAUACUUUGUAGAGGGCUCAUGGUUUAUAGCGGGUCAUUGCGCUUUCAGUGUCACUCAUAUUGUGGCGCUUUGAAUCACUUCAGAGUGUAGUGUGACGCUACCAAAAUGUAUGCCCUAUAACCAAAGCGAAUUCCGCUAUUCAAUAUCAGAAAAACGGUUUGAUAGGGCUUUUAGUGUGAACACAAUGUAUCUCAGGCUACUGAGUAACAAUUAGUGGGAGCAAACAAAAUCGUGUUUCUAUGGUUACUUAGACAGUCUGGCACCCAAUAUAACAAAAGUUAUAUGCAAUGGGGAAAUAUAAAAUGUGUAAAGUUGAUGUACUCGGAUAAAAAUCACUAGUACUUGUGGCAAGUGUUUGUGGCUAGAUGACAUUGAUGAUAUUAUGUAGAGAAACAUUGCAUACUACAGUGUGGUGAAAAAGCUCAAACCCACACUGUGGAACAAAUUGUAUAGGUAUUUGCUGAAUUGUUGUAUACUUUGAUUAAUUGUUCAUGCAAAGUCAAUAUCAUGGCCUAAAUGCCUUAACAUUAGACUUACAGUCGGCUUAUAUCUGUGAAAUAAGGCUGUUGCAUUAGGGUCGGUAACAAGCAGAGGAGAGGAGUGGUUUCAUAUUUUCAGUGUCUGUAGUACCGUCACACAAGGUGACUUUGAACAGUGGGGUAACUUUGAACACCCGGCUGUAGAUGUUUCUCGUCACAACAAUCAUUUCUGGGGGGUGUUCAAAGUCACCCUGCUGUUUAAAGUCACCCUAUGUGAUGGUACUGAUGAUCUUCAACUCGGGCUCCAGCUAUUGUGCAGUGGCAUGCAGUUAUGUUCAUCAGUAAGCCUGAUGUAACCUUGUGAAAAAAAGUCCUAAUUAAAUUACUUAGUGAAGUUUGAAGUAUUUUUUACUAAAACUAUUAUACCAUUCACUGUAAAUGAUAGUGGCUCAGGAAAGUAAUUAUCGGACCGGCUAUUGGCGAUAUAUAGUACUUAGAGGGUGCCUAUUGUGUUGUGUAUGCCUGCGUACAGGAUGUGGUGUCCUAAAAAUCACUAAAAGGUGUGUACUUUAUCAAACUAUGCUCCUAGACAAGGCUCAAGAAAGAGCUUAGUUUUUAUUUGGGCAGGACUGUAACUCCUAAUUAUUGAGGCAAAUGACUUCGCACUUCACAAAAUCUAAGUGUAGUAUUAUUGGGAAGCCAUUGCUGAACCAUCUAAAAAUCUGUUACUGUUUAUUACCACUUCAUAAGGAGUAAGUCUUCAUAUUUUCUGAUUAUUUAGUAGGGCAUUUUAUGUUACCGAGGUAAUCAAUUUUCAUUUGCUGAGGAAAUGAGUAUACAUGUAUUAACUAGGUCUAGGGGCUCACGAUCUCAACGAAUAGAUAGUGCAGGAAUAGAGUCCCCACUUAGUCAACACAGAGUGUGUCCUUCUGCUCAACCCUUGUCAAAUGGGGACAAAAUGUACAGAGGCAUUUGUGUCCCCAUUUGUUGGAUUAAAUAUGGGUAGUCCCCAUUUGGCACAAAACAUAUGUAUGUGUGUCAAACUAUGCUCCUAGACAAGGCUCAAGAAAGACUUUAGUUUAUAUUGUUGGCAGGUUAUCAUGGUUAUUGAGGCAAAUGGCUUUGCACUACACAAAAACUAAUUGUAGUAUAUUUGAAAAGCCAUUGCUGCACCUUUUAAAAAUCUGUUACUGUUUAUUACCACUUCAUAAGGAGUAAGUCUUCAUAUUUUCUGAUUAUUUAGUAGUUCAUUUUAUGUUACCGAGGUAAUUAAUUGUCAUUUGUUGAGAAAAUGAGCAUACAUGUAUUAACAGAGGGUCAAGGGGUUUGUACAAAGUUGUUUGAAUUGAGGGUCUUGGGACCUAUCUAAAUUUGUGUGCAAACUUCUACAGAUAGGUUCAUACACGAGCCGUGGAAAAAAGAAUAUCAAUAGAUUUAUACAGAAUCUCCUCAAAUUGCCAUCCUAGCAUCAAGAUGAUGAGGAGGUGUUUCGGUUGUCUAAACUGGGUCCCUUAUAGAUCUGCGACUGUAUCUCGAUGUGCCUUUCUCUCUUGUAUUUGUUGCCAAAUGGGGUCACUUUCCCCAAAUCGACCACACAAGUUUGAACCCCUAGCAAAUGGAGCCCCCACUUAGUCAGCACAGGAUGUGUCCUUCUGCUCCAUCCUUGUCAAAUAGGGACAAAAUGUACAGAGGCAUUUGUGUCCCCAUUUGUUGGAUUAAAUAUGGGUAGUCCCCAUUUGGCACAAAACAUAUGUAUGUGUGUCAAACUAUGCUCCUAGACAAGGCUCAAGAAAGACUUUAGUUUAUAUUGUUGGCAGGUUAUCAUGGUUAUUGAGGCAAAUGGCUUUGCACUACACAAAAACUAAUUGUAGUAUAUUUGAAAAGCCAUUGCUGAACCUUUUAAAAAUCUGUUACUGUUUAUUACCACUUCAUAAGGAGUAAGUCUUCAUAUUUUCUGAUUAUUUAGUAGUGCAUUUUAUGUUACCAAGGUAAUUAAUUGUCAUUUGUUGAGAAAAUGAGCAUACAUGUAUUAACAGAGGGUCAAGGGGUUUGUACAAAGUUGUUUGAAUUGAGGGUCUUGGGACCUAUCUAAAUUUGUGUGCAAACUUCUACAGAUAGGUUCAUACACGAGCCGUGGAAAAAAGAAUAUCAAUGGAUUUAUACAGAAUCUCCUCAAAUUGCCAUCCUAGCAUCAAGAUGAUGAGGAGGUGUUUCGGUUGUCUAAACUGGGUCUCUGAUAGAUCUGCGACUGUAUCUCGAUGUGUCUUUCUCUCUUGUAUUUGUUGCCAAAUGGGGUCACUUCCCCCAAAUUGACCACACAAAUUUGAACCCCGAGCAAAUGGAGCCCCCACUUAGUCAGCACAGGAUGUGUCCUUCUGCUCCAUCCUUGUCAAAUGGGGACAACAUGUACAUAGGCAUUAGUGUCCCCAUUUGUGGGAUUAUUAUAUAUGGGUAGUCCCCAUUUGGCACAAAACAUAUGUAUAUGUGUUAAACUAUGCUCCUAGACAAGUCUCAAGAAAGACUUCAGUUUAUAUUGUUGGCAGGUUAUUGAGGCAAAUGGCUUUGCACUACACAAAAACUGAGUGUAGUAUAUUUGAAAAGCCAUUGCUGAACCAUUUAAAAAUCUGUUACUGUUUAUUAUCACUUCAUAAGGAGUUAGUCUUCAUAUUUUCUGAUUAUUUAGUAGUGCAUUUUAUGUUACCAAGGUAAUUAAUUGUCAUUUGUUGAGAAAAUGAGCAUACAUGUAUUAACAGAGGGUCAAGGGGUUUGUACAAAGUUGUUUGAAUUGAGGGUCUUGGGACCUGUCUUAAUUUGUGUGCAAACUUCUACUUAUAGGUUUAUACACGAGCCGUGGAAAAAAGAAUAUCAAUAGAUUUAUACAGAAUCUCCUCAAAUUGCCAUCCUGGCAUCAAGACGAUGAGGUGUUUCGGUUGUCUAAACUGGGUCCCUGAUAAAUCUGCGACUGUAUCUCGAUGUGUCUUUCUCUCUUGUAUUUGUUGCAAAAUGGGGUCACUUCCCCCAAAUCGACCACACAAGUUUGAACCCCUAGCAAAUAGAGCCCCAACUUAGUCAGCACAGGAUGUAUCCUUCUGCUCCAUCCUUGUCAAUAGGGACAAAAUGUACAUAAGCAUUUGUGUCCCCAUUUGUGAGAUUAAAUAUGGGUAGUCCCCAUUUGGCACAAAACACAUGUGUUGGGGGGGGGGGAGUUAAUGGGCUUUGUAUGCUUUUUAGUUCACCUUUGGUAAGUCAUACACCCUACCUAACAUUGGGGCGCUGUGUGUCUAAUUAUGAAGUAUAAAGAGGAAACUCUAGGACCUCUCAUUGACGAACAAAGUGAAAGUUACAGUUGACCUUUAGUGCUGAAUAGGCGAGAUCUACUACUUGUGAUGCAGAGUGGAGACAUUUUUGGUCAUUAUAACCCAAGGAAGGGUCUAUAGUAAUUAUGCACCGUCCAUUAUCAUCCAUUGUCGUAAACAUUUGGUGGCACAUUUUUUUACGGCUGAAGCCGUUUUAUUCAAACUUGGUACAGUGUACACUUCUGGGUGACGGCUACUUCCAAUGUAAAUAUCUCUGAAACGACUCGGUUGAGGUUAUGGCAUUACUGAAGAGGAUAGGCAUAUUUGGUUACUUCUACACAAACUCUUCAAAUGGAAUUUCGGGGAUAAAUUUAGACAAAAUGACCGAUUUUGGUAAUGCCAUAAUAGAGGGUUUAAAAGAAAAUAAAAAUUCACUAUCCUUAUUGGAAGUGCCUUAUUUCUGUCACACAUAGGGCCUUGACCCAACUGCUUCAGAGGUAUUUACAUCAGAAAUGUUCCCCUUAUAUGGCUUAACUGCCAUUUGGCCUCUGGGUCUAUUUUUUUAGUAUAUUCACUGGCAAGUUACGAAGUUAUUAACUUUGUUCAGGAUGUGCUGGCUUACUUCAAGUUAUUUUGAACUUCCAUUACUGUAGUUUUAGUUAGACAUAUUUUUUUUAUGUACAUGCACUCUUGCAAGAAAACAAGUUUGUAAUUAACAUCAUUUUUUCAGGAGAUUUUUGCAAGGCAUCCUGUUCUGACCUUUGUCAAGUGCCAAUUUACCAAAACAAUCGAAGUUCUGAUCAGUAUGGGCUACCCGGUAUGUUAUUUUGGUUACCAAACGUCUCUCUAGUGGCAGAGAUUUGCUUUUGGCUAAAAACUAGAGCAAAAUUGUGACGCAAAUUUGAAAUAGAUACUGUUAACAGUGUAUUGGUUCUCGCCAAAUACUGCCUGGAAAGUGGGUCACCCACAGCGAAAAUAUAGUGUGUUGGACGUGACUGUUUUUUUUGUAAUUAAUGGCCAAUACCAAACCUACCUCAGCAGAACGUUUGAGAACCAAACUACAUGAUAUGUGUGAUUGUGUUUCACAAGGAGUUCAUUAAAAUAUUCUACUGGGUAGCUAGUCUUGUUAAUACAUAUUAGUAUGUUGGAUUGUAAUUAUGUUCUGCAAAGUGUUAAUUGAAAUGUGCUAACAGGUUUUGUUGGUCUAAAAAAUAUUGUCUCUCCGUGUCCAAUAAAUGCAGUUCAAAGGGAAAGCCUACAUAUUUCUGUGUCCUGCAUGGUUAAUGCUGAUGUUGCACUUCCUAGAUUUUACCCAUCCUUGAUAACCAGGGUCCUGGUCAUUUCAUACUUCCAAUCCAACUCAGAAACCACAGAAUUUUUGGAGUGGUGCACUGCCUCAGAUAAGUCUGAAUGAGAUUGAACCAAGAAGUUUUAAGUUGAUACCAGCAUUGUCCUGUGCUGUCUGCUCACCACUGGCAAUGGUUCUCAAUUCACUUGUAUGACCAGCUUAAUAGGCAUCAUUGUGUAUUUUGAACAUCGUUGAUGUGUUCUGCUGUGAACAUGGUGAAUAUAGCAUCAUUGUGUAUUUUUAACAUCGUUGAUGUGUUCUGCUGUGAACAUGGUGAAUAUAGCAAUGAUAAUUUUAUCAGCUUCAAUUUUCCGUUUUCCCCAUAUUGACAAUGUGGGACGUACCUGUUUAAAUGGUCAAAUUAGAAAUCAAAUUUAUCAGACAGAUACCUUAUAGUCUAAUGUUACUUCAUGAGAAGUUAUUAUCUUGCAGCCCUUAGAUUAAGGUGGUCCACAUUUAGGGGGUUUGCUGUUAACAUGGUGAAUAUAGCAAUGAUAAUUUUAUCAGCUUCAAUUUUCCGUUGAUGUACCAGUACACUUGGUCCAUGAGAAUCAAGACAACAAUCAAUGUAGGCUUUGUCAGCAUGGAUAUACCAUUUAGGAACAGUAGCCCGCUAAGCUGAAGUGUCCAGCUCACUCAUUUUAAGAAAUUUCGCCGGGGAUUCAGCUUGUGUGGGUUUUCUAUAUGAGUGGAUGAUGUUUUUUAGACCAUACCUGGCAAAGGAUUCCAUGGUGAUUUCUGGUUCUCAUUUAAAUCAGUUGUUAAUGAUUAAAUAAAUAUGUUUCUCUUAAACAUGAUUUUUAUAGA
RNA transcript from Lineus longissimus, 9746 nucleotides. RefSeq lists it as uncharacterized. Lineage: Eukaryota; Metazoa; Nemertea; Pilidiophora; Heteronemertea; Lineidae. The transcript is spliced from 13 exons. The record is from RefSeq and is a predicted model, not a curated record.